UAAGGAAUAUUGGUCAAUGGACGCAAGUCUGAACCAGCCAUGCCGCGUGAAGGAUAAGGUCCUCUGGAUUGUAAACUUCUUUUAUCUGGGACGAAAACGGGAUUUUUAUCUCAAUUGACGGUACCAGAGGAAUAAGCACCGGCUAACUCCGUGCCAGCAGCCGCGGUAAUACGGAGGGUGCGAGCGUUAUCCGGAUUUACUGGGUUUAAAGGGUGCGUAGGUGGGCUUAUAAGUCAGUGGUGAAAUCUCCGAGCUUAACUUGGAAACUGCCGUUGAUACUAUAGGUCUUGAAUUAUCUGGAGGUAAGCGGAAUAUGUCAUGUAGCGGUGAAAUGCUUAGAUAUGACAUAGAACACCAAUUGCGAAGGCAGCUUACUACAUAUAAAUUGACGCUGAGGCACGAAAGCGUGGGGAUCAAACA
This 420-nucleotide ribosomal RNA is filed under the name uncultured bacterium. RNAcentral describes it as "bacterial SSU rRNA". It matches the Rfam family "Bacterial small subunit ribosomal RNA", at positions 355 to 774 of the family's 1533-position model. The record is from RNAcentral.